Molecule: ribosomal RNA, 253 nt
Filed under: uncultured bacterium
Lineage: Bacteria
Description: partial 16S ribosomal RNA
Rfam family: Bacterial small subunit ribosomal RNA
Source: RNAcentral
UACAGAGGGGGCGAGCGUUAUUCGGAAUUAUUGGGCGUAAAGGGCGCGUAGGCGGCCUUUCAAGUGACGGGUGAAAUCCCUCGGCUUAACCGAGGAACUGCCUGUCAGACUGGAAGGCUUGAGACCGGGAGAGGUGAGUGGAAUUCCCAGUGUAGCGGUGAAAUGCGUAGAUAUUGGGAGGAACACCAGUGGCGAAGGCGGCUCACUGGACCGGUACUGACGCUGAGGCGCGAAAGCGUGGGGGGCAAACAGG